GCAUUGGUUGUUCAGUGGUAGAAUUCUCGCCUGCCACGUAGGAGACCUGGCUUUGAUUCCUGGCCAAUGCA
RNAcentral lists this transfer RNA (71 nucleotides) under Danio rerio (zebrafish). It matches the Rfam family "tRNA". From Rfam's summary of the family: Transfer RNA (tRNA) molecules are approximately 80 nucleotides in length. Their secondary structure includes four short double-helical elements and three loops (D, anti-codon, and T loops). The record is from Rfam by way of RNAcentral. Lineage: Eukaryota; Metazoa; Chordata; Actinopteri; Cypriniformes; Danionidae.